Molecule: ribosomal RNA, 1300 nt
Filed under: uncultured Ralstonia sp.
Lineage: Bacteria; Pseudomonadati; Pseudomonadota; Betaproteobacteria; Burkholderiales; Burkholderiaceae
Description: bacterial SSU rRNA
Rfam family: Bacterial small subunit ribosomal RNA
Source: RNAcentral
GCAGUCGACGGCAGCAUGAUCUAGCUUGCUAGAUUGAUGGCGAGUGGCGAACGGGUGAGUAAUACAUCGGAACGUGCCCUGUAGUGGGGGAUAACUAGUCGAAAGAUUAGCUAAUACCGCAUACGACCUGAGGGUGAAAGUGGGGGACCGCAAGGCCUCAUGCUAUAGGAGCGGCCGAUGUCUGAUUAGCUAGUUGGUGAGGUAAAGGCUCACCAAGGCGACGAUCAGUAGCUGGUCUGAGAGGACGAUCAGCCACACUGGGACUGAGACACGGCCCAGACUCCUACGGGAGGCAGCAGUGGGGAAUUUUGGACAAUGGGGGCAACCCUGAUCCAGCAAUGCCGCGUGUGUGAAGAAGGCCUUCGGGUUGUAAAGCACUUUUGUCCGGAAAGAAAUCGCACUUACUAAUAUUAGGUGUGGAUGACGGUACCGGAAGAAUAAGGACCGGCUAACUACGUGCCAGCAGCCGCGGUAAUACGUAGGGUCCAAGCGUUAAUCGGAAUUACUGGGCGUAAAGCGUGCGCAGGCGGUUGUGCAAGACCGAUGUGAAAUCCCCGGGCUUAACCUGGGAAUUGCAUUGGUGACUGCACGGCUAGAGUGUGUCAGAGGGGGGUAGAAUCCCACGUGUAGCAGUGAAAUGCGUAGAGAUGUGGAGGAAUACCGAUGGCGAAGGCAGCCCCCUGGGAUAACACUGACGCUCAUGCACGAAAGCGUGGGGAGCAAACAGGAUUAGAUACCCUGGUAGUCCACGCCCUAAACGAUGUCAACUAGUUGUUGGGGAUUCAUUUCCUUAGUAACGUAGCUAACGCGUGAAGUUGACCGCCUGGGGAGUACGGUCGCAAGAUUAAAACUCAAAGGAAUUGACGGGGACCCGCACAAGCGGUGGAUGAUGUGGAUUAAUUCGAUGCAACGCGAAAAACCUUACCUACCCUUGACAUGCCACUAACGAAGCAGAGAUGCAUUAGGUGCUCGAAAGAGAAAGUGGACACAGGUGCUGCAUGGCUGUCGUCAGCUCGUGUCGUGAGAUGUUGAGUUAAGUCCCGCAACGAGCGCAACCCUUGUCUCUAGUUGCUACGAAAGGGCACUCUAGAGAGACUGCCGGUGACAAACCGGAGGAAGGUGGGGAUGACGUCAAGUCCUCAUGGCCCUUAUGGGUAGGGCUUCACACGUCAUACAAUGGUGCAUACAGAGGGUUGCCAAGCCGCGAGGUGGAGCUAAUCCCAGAAAAUGCAUCGUAGUCCGGAUCGUAGUCUGCAACUCGACUACGUGAAGCUGGAAUCGCUAGUAAUCGCGGAUCAGC